Long non-coding RNA from Gambusia affinis (western mosquitofish), 668 nucleotides. RefSeq lists it as uncharacterized. Lineage: Eukaryota; Metazoa; Chordata; Actinopteri; Cyprinodontiformes; Poeciliidae. The transcript is spliced from 3 exons. The record is from RefSeq and is a predicted model, not a curated record.
GUCUUUCUCAAUCAAGUCACGCCAGAGCGAAGGAAAAAACUUUUCCCCGGCUCAUUUAAUGAAUGUUUCCCAUUUCAGGCUUUUUGCACCUUGCCUUAAUUGAAAUUGUGAGUGAGUGUGAAAAGCACUGAAAGACAAGCGACAAAUGAUGACGUGACUGGCCCCAACCUUCACCUGCUGAGUGGACAAUUUCAGAACACAUCCACCCUGCUGCAAGGCUCCAGCUCACCACGAUCUCUGUCUCGGUGAGGGCAGGCUGCAUCAAUACUGCUUUCACCCCAUGCUGCUCUGAGAGAAGCCUCAUUCUUCCUGAAAUCAACUGAGAAUUCUUCAGAAAUUGGCCAUUGAAGCUCUGAACUGUUAAAAGGCCACAAACCUUUCUAUCCGCUAAGGAAUGGAUUUUGUCCUCAACAUCUUUGAAAUUUGACAACUUUGUAAUGGAAAAAGUUUUUGCAAGGAAUGUCAACAAAAUCUUUGGGAUGUUGAUUUAGCUGACAUGGAGUACGUUCAUGAAAUAGGGGAUGUUAGAAAAAGAGAUCCUUGAGGCAUCUCUGCUGCAUUCUUCAAAAACAACCUACAUGAUUUACUGUUUUGUCUUUUUAAUCCUGUGGAACAACACACAAAAGUAGACAUGCAUGCAGCAUGCAUAUUUCAAAAUCAUAGAAAAA